UUUAAAUCCAAUCAUAAGUUUUCGCGCCUAACUUUGACCGUCUGUCUUAUUUGAAAUUUUUUUAUAAUUAGUAUUUUUUAUUGUUAUUAGAUGAUAAAACAUGAAUGGGACUUUACUCGUGACUUAUGUUUUUAAUUUUUUUUUAAAAAAAUUUAAAUAAGAUGGAUGGUCAAACUUAGGUGCGGAAAACCAUAGCUACACUUAGG
Oryza glumipatula is the source of this 206-nucleotide non-coding RNA. The record is from Rfam. Lineage: Eukaryota; Viridiplantae; Streptophyta; Magnoliopsida; Poales; Poaceae.